UGGGGAAUUUUGGACAAUGGGCGAAAGCCUGAUCCAGCAAUGCCGCGUGUGUGAAGAAGGCCUUCGGGUUGUAAAGCACUUUUGUCCGGAAAGAAAUCCUUGGCUCUAAUACAGUCGGGGGAUGACGGUACCGGAAGAAUAAGCACCGGCUAACUACGUGCCAGCAGCCGCGGUAAUACGUAGGGUGCAAGCGUUAAUCGGAAUUACUGGGCGUAAAGCGUGCGCAGGCGGUUUGCUAAGACCGAUGUGAAAUCCCCGGGCUCAACCUGGGAACUGCAUUGGUGACUGGCAGGCUAGAGUAUGGCAGAGGGGGGUAGAAUUCCACGUGUAGCAGUGAAAUGCGUAGAGAUGUGGAGGAAUACCGAUGGCGAAGGCAGCCCCCUGGGCCAAUACUGACGCUCGUGCACGAAAGCGUGGGGAGCAAACAGGAUUAGAUACCCUGGUAGUCCACGCCCUAAACGAUGUCAACUAGUUGUUGGGGAUUCAUUUCCUUAGUAACGUAGCUAACGCGUGAAGUUGACCGCCUGGGGAGUACGGUCGCAAGAUU
RNAcentral lists this ribosomal RNA (547 nucleotides) under uncultured bacterium. Its description in RNAcentral is "partial 16S ribosomal RNA". It matches the Rfam family "Bacterial small subunit ribosomal RNA", at positions 355 to 895 of the family's 1533-position model. The record is from RNAcentral.